This 66-nucleotide transfer RNA is filed under the name Priestia aryabhattai. Its description in RNAcentral is "Bacillus aryabhattai tRNA-Lys". Lineage: Bacteria; Bacillati; Bacillota; Bacilli; Caryophanales; Bacillaceae. The record is from RNAcentral.
AGCCAUUAGCUCAGUUGGUAGAGCAUCUGACUUUUAAUCAGAGGGUCGAAGAGUAGGACGUUGCCA